CCUUGAAUGGAUGGUAAAUUCUUUUCUGCACACUCUGGAAUAAAUACUACCUAAAACAAUUAUGUGCGACAUACAGGAAUUCAGAAGAAAGGUUGAAGCGUUCUUUGUGAUUGAAAUAAACCAUGGUGUUAAAAGUAUAUAGGUGGUCCAACUGGCCUCCUCAAAUUGAUUAUUUUGGAAGACUGCCACCAGAGUGUCUGAAAGUCAAGUACCAUUGACUAUUUCAUUUAGGCCGAUUUGUAUUUGAUACGUAAACAAAAAUUCGAUAAAUUACACGGAAAACAAUGUUGCUGUUAGUACAAACACAAAAAACGUUGGGAGAACGUCAGCACUUAAACUCGCAAAAUCUCAGUCGGAUAUUAAUAUUUAUUAUUUAAAUUUUUACACUAUAAUCUUUGACAUAUUCUGCGACUUGUAGAGCUAUUCCGAAACUUUACAAUAAAAUAAUGAAUUUUUAAUAUUUUGUCGAGUUUAGUGAAUUUUUUUUCAAACGUUAAAGUUAUGUUACGAAUUUUCGAGUUAAAAAUUUUCAUUAAUGUUAUAUUAUAGUUGAAUAUUUGAAGAAGUUUUCUGGAAAGUUUUAAAUCUUUAAAUGUAACAGUUAAAAAAUUAUGGCAAUUUAUAUGCAGCGUUAGCGAAACGUUCGACGCGACAUUGCAACAUGUAUAUAAAUUAUCAUAACUUUUUGCUAUUGAAUUUAUUUUGUUUUAGACGAAACUUUUUUUGUUUACGCUUACCAAAUGUAUUACUAGUAUAAAAAAGAACAUUUAAAAAACUGUCCCUCCCAAAACAUUUUUCUCACUACAUCCUUGGCUGUAGAAAUAAAUAAGUAUGUAUACUUUUAAUGCUACAAUAGUUUACAUAUUGCCGAAAAAUUACAAUUUUUUUCUGAAAAUGUCAUCUCUAUUGAUAAUCGAACUCGGAUGAUAACAUUAAAAUCACAAAUAAAGUAUUUGUUUUAAAUAAAAAUCAAGUAUUAAGUUUUAAA
Molecule: long non-coding RNA, 988 nt
Organism: Acromyrmex echinatior (Panamanian leafcutter ant)
Lineage: Eukaryota; Metazoa; Arthropoda; Insecta; Hymenoptera; Formicidae
Source: RefSeq, a predicted model, not a curated record